GGGCUUGUACUGGUUUCGACGGGGGUUUUGAAGUUGAGGAAGCCAUCCGCAGACUCCGGGACUGCGUACCAACCUGGAAACUAAAUAUAAACGCAAACAAUAAAGUAGCGUUAGCUGCCUAAUUGCAGCUUGUCAGCCCCAGGCCACCCGCUGUCUGGGAAUCUGGCAUCGACCUUGCGGGGCACUUCGUUCUCAAAGCUUUGAGAGAAUGGAAGAUUUCAUGAAGCUACCAAGUGUCACAGCCUGUUAUCCGGCGGUGAUGUGAGGGAAUGUUAAAAGAAUAACUGUGAUGGGAGAUGCCGCAAGGGAUAGACUUUCGGACGCGGGUUCGAUUCCCGCCAGGUCCA
RNAcentral lists this transfer-messenger RNA (347 nucleotides) under uncultured Blautia sp. It matches the Rfam family "transfer-messenger RNA". From Rfam's summary of the family: Bacterial tmRNA, also known as 10Sa RNA or SsrA, is named for its dual tRNA and mRNA-like properties. Its role is to liberate the mRNA from a stalled ribosome. To accomplish this part of the tmRNA is used as a reading frame that ends in a translation stop signal. The record is from RNAcentral. Lineage: Bacteria; Bacillati; Bacillota; Clostridia; Lachnospirales; Lachnospiraceae.